This 85-nucleotide transfer RNA is filed under the name Felis catus (domestic cat). It matches the Rfam family "tRNA". From Rfam's summary of the family: Transfer RNA (tRNA) molecules are approximately 80 nucleotides in length. Their secondary structure includes four short double-helical elements and three loops (D, anti-codon, and T loops). The record is from Rfam by way of RNAcentral. Lineage: Eukaryota; Metazoa; Chordata; Mammalia; Carnivora; Felidae.
GCCUGGGUGGCUCAGUCAGUUAAGCGUCUGACUUUGGCUCAGGUCAUGAUUUCACGGUUUGUGAGUUCAAGCCCCGCAUCAGGCU